RNAcentral lists this unclassified non-coding RNA (240 nucleotides) under soil metagenome. RNAcentral describes it as "partial contains 5.8S ribosomal RNA, internal transcribed spacer 2, and large subunit ribosomal RNA". The record is from RNAcentral.
AACGCACGAGACCUGCGGACCUGCGGAGGGAUCAUUACAGAGUUUUCUAACUCCCAAACCCAUGUGAACUUACCAUUGUUGCCUCGGCGGAGCCUACCCUGUAGCUACCCUAUAAGGUGGUUACCCUGUAGCGCCCCGCCGGUGGAUUUUCAAACUCUUGUUAUUUUUAGUAAUCUGAGAGUCUUAUUUUAAAUAAGUCAAAACUUUUAACAAUGGAUCUCUAGAUCGGAAGAGCACACG